This 253-nucleotide ribosomal RNA is filed under the name uncultured bacterium. Its description in RNAcentral is "partial 16S ribosomal RNA". It matches the Rfam family "Bacterial small subunit ribosomal RNA", at positions 524 to 776 of the family's 1533-position model. The record is from RNAcentral.
UACAGAGGUGGCAAGCGUUGUCCGGAAUCAUUGGGCGUAAAGCGCACGUAGGCGGCUUUGUCAGUCAGGGGUGAAAUCCCGGGGCUCAACCUCGGAACUGCCUUUGAUACAGCAAGUCUUGAGUUCGAGAGAGGUGGGUGGAAUUCCUAGUGUAGAGGUGAAAUUCGUAGAUAUUAGGAAGAACACCGGUGGCGAAGGCGGCCCACUGGCUCGAUACUGACGCUGAGGUGCGAAAGCGUGGGGAGCAAACAGG